AAGGAUGCAUUUUGGAUAUGACAAGUUAAUCAUCCCUCUCCAAUUCUGACGUUUUUCAUCCAAUCAUUGGUUGUGGCAAUCCUUCUGGGAUUACGGGUUGCAGGGGAACUAGCAAACCUGAACCUGUUCGUGUAACUGAUGCGAGAGGAACGGUCUUGAUGAUACAUGAGUCAAGUGAAAGUUCGUUUUAUCACCACCAGAGUGUCUCAAAACAUGGAGGAGGGAACACUGGAUCUUACAUAAUUGCGAAAUGCACAAAUUUUUCCAUCUUGGGGCGGCAGGGCUGAAACCGGAUCCCAUUUGAAUCUGCUCAUGCCAUGCCAUGCAAUCAGUUUCUGAAAAGAAUGAAAUUUGACUUUUGAGAGAGGGAGUUGUCGUAGGAGGCUCGAGAGAAAAAUAUAUUUUGCUCCUCAAAUUUCAACAGGGAAUCGCUAUAUUUAAAUUCUUUUGAUAAAAUUUAAUUAACUGGUGGAAGGCUGUCCUGACACUGCUACCGAACAUAUUUGAAAAAGGAUAAAUUACCUUUUAUA
Molecule: non-coding RNA, 530 nt
Organism: Elaeis guineensis (African oil palm)
Lineage: Eukaryota; Viridiplantae; Streptophyta; Magnoliopsida; Arecales; Arecaceae
Source: RefSeq, a predicted model, not a curated record